AUUGAACGCUGGCGGCAGGCCUAACACAUGCAAGUCGAACGGUAACAGGAAGAAGCUUGCUUCUUUGCUUACGAGUGGCGGACGGGUGAGUCAUGUCUGGGAAACUGCCUGAUGGAGGGGGUUAACUACUGGAAACGGUAGCUAAUACCGCAUAACGUCGCAAGCCCAAAGAUGGGGACCUUCGGGCCUCUUGCCAGCGGCUUUGCCCAGAUGGCAUUAGCUAGUAGGUGGGGUAACGGCUUACCUAGGCGACGAUCCCUAGCUGGUCUGAGAGGAUGACCAGCCACACUGGAACUGAGACACGGUCCAGACUCCUACGGGAGGCAGCAGUGGGGAAUAUUGCACAAUGGGCGCAAGCCUGAUGCAGCCAUGCCGCGUGUAUGAAGAAGGCCUUCGGGUUGUAAAGUACUUUCAGCGGGGAGGAAGGGAGUAAAGUUAAUACCUUUGCUCAUUGACGUUACCCGCAGAAGAAGCACCGGCUAACUCCGUG
RNAcentral lists this ribosomal RNA (490 nucleotides) under uncultured bacterium. RNAcentral describes it as "partial 16S ribosomal RNA". It matches the Rfam family "Bacterial small subunit ribosomal RNA", at positions 30 to 507 of the family's 1533-position model. The record is from RNAcentral.